RNAcentral lists this ribosomal RNA (376 nucleotides) under uncultured bacterium. RNAcentral describes it as "bacterial SSU rRNA". It matches the Rfam family "Bacterial small subunit ribosomal RNA", at positions 29 to 400 of the family's 1533-position model. The record is from RNAcentral.
AGUGAACGCUGGCGGCAGGCCUAAUACAUGCAAGUCGAACGGCAGCACAGCAGAGCUUGCUCUGUGGGUGGCGAGUGGCGGACGGGUGAGGAAUACAUGGGAAUCUGCCCAGUCGUGGGGGAUAACGUAUGGAAACGUACGCUAAUACCGCAUGCGCCCUAAGGGGGAAAGCCGGGGACCGCAAGGCCUGGCGCGAUUGGAUGAGCCCAUGUUCGAUUAGCUAGUUGGCGGGGUAAAGGCCCACCAAGGCGACGAUCGAUAGCUGGUCUGAGAGGAUGAUCAGCCACACUGGAACUGAGACACGGUCCAGACUCCUACGGGAGGCAGCAGUAGGGAAUAUUGGACAAUGGGCGCAAGCCUGAUCCAGCCAUGCCGC